RNAcentral lists this long non-coding RNA (1699 nucleotides) under Homo sapiens (human). RNAcentral's name for it is "long non-coding RNA NONHSAT213706.1". The record is from RNAcentral. Lineage: Eukaryota; Metazoa; Chordata; Mammalia; Primates; Hominidae.
GCCAUUUGGAGCUGGGCGUCAUCGUUGUAUUGGGGAAAAUUUUGCCUAUGUUCAAAUUAAGACAAUUUGGUCCACUAUGCUUCGUUUAUAUGAAUUUGAUCUCAUUGAUGGAUACUUUCCCACUGUGAAUUAUACAACUAUGAUUCACACCCCUGAAAACCCAGUUAUCCGUUACAAACGAAGAUCAAAAUGAAAAAGGUUGCAAGGAACGAAUAUAUGUGAUUAUCACUGUAAGCCACAAAGGCAUUCGAAGAGAAUGAAGUGUACAAAACAACUCUUGUAGUUUACUGUUUUUUUAAGUGUGUAAUUCUAAAAGCCAGUUUAUGAUUUAGGAUUUUGUUAACUGAAUGGUUCUAUCAAAUAUAAUAGCAUUUGAAACAUUUUCUAAUAGUUAUGAUACUUAUACAUGUGCUUUCAGGAAGUUCCUUGGUGAAACAAUUGUUGAGGGGGGAUCUAGGUAAUUGGCAGAUUCUAAAUAAUAUAAUUUCCAGAUAGUAAUUUUAAGAGUACUCAUCGCUCUUGCCAAAUAAGUUCAGGGUAUUCAAAUCUUGGACUAGUCCUGCAAGGUAUAAAGAAUAAAAAUCCCAGUGAGAUACUUGGAAACCACAGUUUAUUAUUAUUUAUCUGGGCAAUUAUUGUGUGUGUGAGGAUGGAAGGGUAGGGAAUAAUCGAACAUCUAAAGCCUUGAAUAAGAGAAUACUAAUUGUUUUGGUAUGAUGAUACUCAGAAAUGGAGAUAUUAUAGGAAAAAGAAAUCCUUUGGAAUUUUAACUAAAAUCACUGCAUAUGGGAAAUUAAGAGAUCCAGGACCAUAUUUGAUAAGAGUUCCUAAAAAUAAUGUAAUUAUUAAUGCUAAAGACUGCUCAUGUAUCUUGAUCUAAUUACUAAAUAAUUACAUAUUUAUUUACCUGAUAAAUAUGUAUCUAGUUCUACAAGGUCACAUUUAUGUGGAAGUCCAAAGUCAAGUCCUUAGGGGAUAAUUUUGUUUUGGCUCAGUUGUUCCCUGCUUCCUUUUUUUUUUUUUUUUUUUGAGAUGGAGUCUCGCUCUGUUGCCCAGGCUGGAGUGCAGUGGUGCGAUCUCAGCUCACUGCAUCCUCUGCCUCCCGGGUUCAAGCAAUUCUCUGCCUCAGCCUCCCAAGUAGUUGGGAUUACAGGCACCUGCCACCAUGCCUGGCUAAUUUUUUGUAUUUUUAGUAGAGACGGGGGUUUCACUAUGUUGGCUAGGCUGGUCUUGAACUCCUGACCUCGUGAUCCACCCGCCUUGGCCUCCCAAAGUGCUGGGAUUACAGGCAUGAGCCACCGCACCUGGCCUUCCCUGCUUCCUCUCUAGAAUCCAAUUAGGGAUGUUUGUUACUACUCAUAUUGAUUAAAACAGUUAACAAACUUUUUUCUUUUUAAAAUGUGAGAUCAGUGAACUCUGGUUUUAAGAUAAUCUGAAACAAGGUCCUUGGGAGUAAUAAAAUUGGUCACAUUCUGUAAAGCACAUUCUGUUUAGGAAUCAACUUAUCUCAAAUUGUAACUCGGGGCCUAACUAUAUGAGAUGGCUGAAAAAAUACCACAUCGUCUGUUUUCACUAGGUGAUGCCAAAAUAUUUUGCUUUAUGUAUAUUACAGUUCUUUUUAAAACACUGGAAGACUCAUGUUAAACUCUAAUUGUGAAGGCAGAAUCUCUGCUAAUUUUUCAGAUUAAAAUUCUCUUUG